This 1745-nucleotide unclassified non-coding RNA is filed under the name Hevea brasiliensis (rubber tree). Lineage: Eukaryota; Viridiplantae; Streptophyta; Magnoliopsida; Malpighiales; Euphorbiaceae. The record is from RNAcentral.
GUGGGGGGUGGAUUGUGUUGAUAAUUUUCAAAUUUUCUGUGCAAAAAUUGAUGGGUUUUAUGUAGUUAUGCUAAAUAGUGAUAGGUUUCCUAUGAUUUGUUCAUAUUGUUGAAUAAUUUUUGCUGUGGUUUUACUCACGACCAAUUCAUUUAUUGGCAUUAUGUUCUGGAUUUGAUGCAGUUGUUUAUGCGGCACCUGAGAGCCUGUUGAAUGUUGGGGUUGACAUGGGGACAAGGGAAUGGGUAAUGCAAGGUGUGUCCUCAGCCCUGACCAUUUUAAUCCGAUCUCAUUUUAGCUUGAGCUUGGAGUUUGAGGUAAUCCUUAAUGUUUUGGUCUGGGGAUAAUUUUGGCGGUUUUGAAAGCAAAAGGCUUCAUUCAACAAGCCAAAAUAAAAAAAGGCUAAUUUUUUUUAUGAAAUAACGUUAGUUCUUUUAUUUUACUUUUCUCAUAUGAAUGAAACCCAUAUAUAACCAAGUAUGCUUUAUCAUUACUGUCCUUUCUUAAUCAUUAGGAGCAAACAUUUUAUCAAACGGAGCCUGAAUUUGUAAUAUGUGCUUAUAAAAUAUAUUUGCAUAGAUACUGCUUAGCACCGCAGAGCAGCUGAGUUAAUAAACUGGUGUGCUUCUGGUGUUGCUGUCUUGGUUUGGAAUCCCUGGAUUGACCUGUUACCUACAAUAUAUAUGUGCCUUGAAAUUGUGGAUGUUUCUUAUGAUUGUUAUUCAUUGUUGUCCCGACUAUCUGGAGCAAACCGACUCUUCGCAAGGGCAAGCCAGCAAGGCUUUGUGUUGCGCACACUUGACACUUUCUGAUACAAUUUCAGCAUCCACCCUGGAAUGCCAUUGGGACUUUUAUCUAAUAAAACUUGCUAGUUGCACCCUUCUGUAAUUUGUAUUCAAUGUCUGUUUUACUGGCAGAUUUCUAUAGCUUAAGGAGGGUUGUUGAAGCAGCCUCAGAGCGUGUUGAAGAGAUUAGAACUUCGGCUGGCAUCAGCAAUUAGAACAAGAACUUGCAGAUUUAGAAUUGAGAGCAGCUAAGAGCUCCUUUUGGGAUGACCGUGGUAGAGCUCAAGACUCUCAAGUCAUAUGCAUUCAUGUGUAAGAGAGGUUGUAUAGGCACCCAUGGUAUAGAACACCAGCAAAUCACCGACUUUUAGCUCAGUCAACGUGCACUUAUUCACGACAAGGUCAAAUGAAUCACAAGUAGGUCCAAAUAUAGUCGAUGAAGUAACCACUGAAUCUGCAUAAUUACUAUCUUCAUUUUGCAGCAGUAACGGCUUGAAAAUCAUAGAGGAACGAUCGUACACUGCAAGGUUAAAUGACCCAUAAAUCCCAUCAUCAAUCCAGUACUGAAUUUCCUCUUCUCUUAUCACUCGUUUCCCUAUCACAUUUGUCACCAUGGUGAAUGCAGUUUCAGCAAAGUGAUAAGAAAUAAAAAUAUGUGGAGGUGGGUAUGGUACGACGCUGAUGUGCGUGUAUAUAAGCUGCUAAUUGUUUUGGCCCCAGCUUCAACUACUUGCAUGAAGGUAUUUGUUUAUGAAUCAGAGAACAUUGAAGAAUUAUAAGCUGCUACAGAUGAAGCUAUUUGUUUAAUUACAAGUUGAUAUAUAUAUUAUAAAUUAUAAAUCAUAAAGUGAAUUAUGAUUUGGGCUGCUAAUCUUGAUGAUUUGAUAUAUUACCAAAUCAAGAAAUAUAAAAAUGUGUAGACGAGCUGUAUAUUGGAUUUUGCGUAUCAGAAUGUGAUCAAUA